UCUAAGUUUGAUGGCGACCGGCGCACGGGUGAGUAACACGUAUCCAACCUGCCGAUGACUCGGGGAUAGCCUUUCGAAAGAAAGAUUAAUACCCGAUGGCAUAGUUCUUCCGCAUGGUAGAACUAUUAAAGAAUUUCGGUCAUCGAUGGGGAUGCGUUCCAUUAGGUUGUUGGCGGGGUAACGGCCCACCAAGCCUUCGAUGGAUAGGGGUUCUGAGAGGAAGGUCCCCCCACAUUGGAACUGAGACACGGUCCAAACUCCUACGGGAGGCAGCAUG
This 277-nucleotide ribosomal RNA is filed under the name uncultured bacterium. Its description in RNAcentral is "partial 16S ribosomal RNA". It matches the Rfam family "Bacterial small subunit ribosomal RNA", at positions 78 to 353 of the family's 1533-position model. The record is from RNAcentral.